GAUUUCUAAGUAAAGCAUUAGCAAUUUAGCAUUUGGAGAUGAGAGUGGUUCUGUCUUCUCAAGUAGGGUUCUGAAGUUCCACCAUGGAGAAGAUUGGAGCCGGGAGAUGAUGAUGAUCAUCAAGGCAGGAUUGGUGCCUUGCGUGAGUGUUGGUGAUGAUCAAUUAGCUCCGUGGUGGAGUGUACUUGUGAGGAGAUGAGGGGAUCGGAGUGUACCCUGGUGAUGUUGUUGGCACAGUACUAUGAUCGGACAGUGAAUUCAUCAAAUAAUCUUCUGUGCGAACUCCGCUACCUGUGCUUAUUAUGCUGUUCAGUUUAAUAUUUAAAAUUCAAGUUUUGUAUCCUCAACUAGCAAAAGACUUGAAAUACCCUUCCUUGGAAAGCCUUUAUAUUCAGCAUGUGGCAAAGAAGCCUAAGCUCUUGAAACAACUGCCUGAUGCGUCUUCAGAUGCAAUUACUCCAAUGACUGGGUCCAUGACUUUACCUGUUGCUUCUCAGAUGAGUAAUAUGUCUAAUUCAAAUAAGCUCAUCAAAAUAAUUGCUAAUCGGGAUCGUGGAAGAUAACAUAAAGCAACAAAGAUGACUACAGGACAAUCAGGGUCUAGAAAUCCAUGGGCAGCAUUUGAGGACCAGGCACUUGUUGUCCUUGUUCAUGAUUUGGGCCCAAAUUGGGAGCUAGUGAGCGAUGCUAUCAACAGCACUCUCCAAUUCUAGUUGUAUUACAUCUUCCGGAAACCUAAAGAGUGCAAGGAACUACGUAAAGCUCUAAUGGACAGAAGUGCUGGGGAUGGUGCUGAUAGUGCAGAAGAUUCCGGUUCUUCUCAGCCAUAUUACCUGGCAU
Molecule: long non-coding RNA, 840 nt
Organism: Dioscorea cayenensis subsp. rotundata (Guinea yam)
Lineage: Eukaryota; Viridiplantae; Streptophyta; Magnoliopsida; Dioscoreales; Dioscoreaceae
Exons: 7
Source: RefSeq, a predicted model, not a curated record